AGCCUCAGGUAUAUAUCUUAGGUGAAACCUGCCCACUGUUAUUAAUUAACGGCCGCAGUACCCUGACUGUGCUAAGGUAGCGUAAUCAAUUGUCCUUUAAAUGGGGCCGUGUAUGAAAGGAUUUAUAGGGUUAAACUGUCUCCUAAAUGUUUUAUUGAAGUUACUUAAAGGGUGAAAAUUCCCUUAUUAUGAAAAAAGACGAGAAGACCCUUAGAGUUUUAAUUAAUUUUAGUUUAACUAAAUAUAUUUUUGUUGGGGCGACAAGGAAGCAGAAUAACCUUCCUCAUUAGAAAAAACAAGCCGGAUUUUUCAAGUGAUUAAACUACCUAAGGGAUAACAGCAUAAUUCUUACUAGAGUUUGUGACCUCGAUGUUGGACUAGGAAUUUAUUAGACUAGCCGUUUAAUUAUAAGGUUCUGUUCGAACUUAUUCUCC
Molecule: ribosomal RNA, 434 nt
Filed under: Williamia peltoides
Lineage: Eukaryota; Metazoa; Mollusca; Gastropoda; Siphonariida; Siphonariidae
Description: partial 16S ribosomal RNA
Rfam family: Bacterial large subunit ribosomal RNA
Source: RNAcentral